UGACCUCGGAUCAGACGUGAAUACCCGCUGAACUUAAGCAUAUCACUAAGCGGAGGAAAAGAAACUAACAAGGAUUCCCUCAGUAACGGCGAGUGAACAGGGAAAAGCCCAGCACCGAAGCCUGUGGCCAUUUGGUUACUAGGCAAUGUGGUGUUUAGGUCGUCCCUUGGAGAUGUUGCCUCACCCCAAGUCCAGCAAUGAGUAUGGUUAUUCUGACUUGGCCCAGAGAGGGUGAAAGGCCCGUGGGGGUGAGGUUCAUGCAUGAUAAUGUCUCCCUGGGUAGACCUUGGAGUCGGGUUGUUUGUGAUUGCAGCCCAAAGUGGGUGGUAAACUCCAUCCAAGGCUAAAUACUUGCACGAGUCCGAUAGCGAACAAGUACCGUGAGGGAAAGUUGAAAAGUACUUUGAAGAGAGAGUAAACAGUGCGUGAAACCGCUCAGAGGUAAACGGGUGGAGUUGAACUGCAAACUUUGAGAAUUCAGCUGGUGGAAGUGGUUUGUGCUUGGACAAAGCGAUUGGUCAUGCGGGUCUGCUCAGUUGCAGGUCUCUACCUUCGGGUAGGGAUGCGCGAGGCACUUGUCAAGUGUUGCGCGCUCGCAGGAUGACUCGGAUCAAUUCGCCAGUGCACUUUCUCAUUGUGUUCACCACGACCGGCGCUGCUGUCUGUCUGAUAUGGCCAAACCGGUUUUGCAUUGUCCUUGUGGCUUUGCUUGAUCGGGAUGGCAGGUGACUCGUUGGCUUGUGUGUUGGCUUCGGCUUGCAUGCGCUUGGCUUUCGAGCGUAAUCAGCUGGCUAUAUUGGUACUGUGCAGUGCGUCGGAGACGGCGGCUUGUUGUGUAUGCAUUCGUGCUUACAUGCUGACGGUUCCGGGUUUGGUUGUCUGUUGCCUGUUUCGGCAGGCCUGAUAAUGGCUCGGUUCUGCUUAGUAUGUUGUUGCGUUUGUUUCACAUAUAAGGGCCAAUAGUCUGUGGUGUAGUGGUAGACUAUCCACCCGACCCGUCUUGAAACACGGACCAAGGAGAGUAACAUGUGCGCAAGUCAUUGGGCGUUACGAAACCCAAAGGCGCAGUGAAAGUAAAGGCUCGGCUUGUCUGGGCUGAGGUGAGAUCCUGCCGUUCCUCAUGCGCGGUACUACCAAGCAUCAGAGCGGUAGGCGCAUCACCGGCCCGUCCCAUGGCGUGGACACGGUCUUCGGGCUGUGCACCGUCGGGGCGGAGCAUGAGCGCACAUGUUGAGACCCGAAAGAUGGUGAACUAUGCUUGCGCAGGUUGAAGCCAGAGGAAACUCUGGUGGAGGACCGCAGCGAUUCUGACGUGCAAAUCGAUCGUCAAACGUGAGUAUAGGGGCGAAAGACUAAUCGAACCAUCUAGUAGCUGGUUCCCUCCGAAGUUU
This 1391-nucleotide ribosomal RNA is filed under the name Diplodiscus mehrai. RNAcentral's name for it is "eukaryotic LSU rRNA". It matches the Rfam family "Eukaryotic large subunit ribosomal RNA", at positions 1 to 969 of the family's 3401-position model. Lineage: Eukaryota; Metazoa; Platyhelminthes; Trematoda; Plagiorchiida; Diplodiscidae. The record is from RNAcentral.